UACGGGCUUUGGUUACACCAUUAAAGCUUUGAGAAGCAAGAAGAAGCUUGAUUAUUGUUUUAGAGUCAAAUAU
Molecule: small RNA, 73 nt
Filed under: Arabidopsis thaliana (thale cress)
Lineage: Eukaryota; Viridiplantae; Streptophyta; Magnoliopsida; Brassicales; Brassicaceae
Description: ATSL162730
Source: RNAcentral